Molecule: long non-coding RNA, 1237 nt
Organism: Glycine soja
Lineage: Eukaryota; Viridiplantae; Streptophyta; Magnoliopsida; Fabales; Fabaceae
Exons: 5
Source: RefSeq, a predicted model, not a curated record
CGUCUUUGAAUACGAGCCAUUUUAAUUUUUAAUGCGCCCUUCGCGUCCGUUCCUCUUCUUUCCGCAAAUGUGGCACUCAUUCCUUUUCUUUCCCCACUCCCUAGCUGUCUUCUCCUUCUCCUCUUUCCAUUACAUUUCUCCACCUUCUCCCUGGUACCACCAGCGCCCCCAUUCCCCUCUCCUCCAGUAAAACUACAAAAAACCCUAACCCCAAAAAAAACCCAAACCCCUGUCGCGAUGAAAUCUCCACCCCCAAAUAGCUCUUUGGAAUAGAACCAAGGAACUUACCAAAUCCAUUACAUGCUAUCGGGGUUUUGGCGUGUUUCCGGUGUGAAAGAAGGAAAAAGAAAUGUGUACACGACGGUGAUGUACGUAGGUACACUGAAGGACUAUGAAUUCUACAUAGCCAUAUGCGUGCUUCUCAAAUCGUUGGCUAUGCUCAAUUUUGUGUCAAUCGGUACUACUACAUGUGUUUGAAUGACCUACUUGCACUUGGCGGUGGGGGUAAUUAUGCUUUAUGCUUAAAAGAAUAUUUGUUUGUAUUUAAUAAUGCUGCUUAGUUUUUGUUCCAGUACAUUUUAAUUGUAAUUGAAGUACACUAGUGGGCCUUCUGACACAUUUCGAAGCAAAUGUCUAACUCAUAGUCCAGAGUUUGAGUUGAAGAAUGUUGAAGCACUUGUUGCUGCGUUGAGUGUCUUCAACUGCUUGGUUAACGUUGCACAAGCUCAAUCUGCAAACGCCACCACUGAUCCUUCCGAAGGUUGGAUCAAUAUGCUAUAGCAAAAUUUGCUAAAAGUUUUCAAAUGAUUCCUAGAACUUUGGCUGAGAAUGUUGGGUUCAAUGCUGGCAUUGAUUUGGAAGAAGGCGUAUGUAAGGAUAUCUCAACCUUGUGCAUUUGGGAUCUCCAUGUGACUAAGUUAUUUGCUCUUAAAUAUGCUACUGAUGUUGCAUGCACUGUACUACGUGUGGACUAGAUUAUUAUGGCAAAACCAACUGGUGGCAUGGAUGAAGACUAAAAUUAAUGGUUUGCUUUGGCCAUGCUUGUAUCUCAACAUGAUGACUUGAAUUUGCCUUAGGCAUGUUUUCUUUAUUUAGACUUUAGUAUUGAUGGCGAUCUUACAAAUUUUGAAUUUUAUUUAAUUUGCCAUGAAAUACAAAGAGAUGUGGUCUGCAUGUAAAACAACAUUUUAUUCAUAGCAAUGUUAUAUAUUAUAUAGUAAUUUAAAUUCUUGCAAAA